Pelobates cultripes (western spadefoot toad) is the source of this 237-nucleotide non-coding RNA. The record is from the annotation of a GenBank genome assembly. NCBI's taxonomy places the organism in Eukaryota, Metazoa, Chordata, Amphibia, Anura, Pelobatidae.
AUUACUCUCAUUAUUAUGAAUAUACAAUGGCUUUUACUCAUGUUUGGCUGAGGAAGCAAAGAUGAGUUAUAUAAGCUGUAAUAGUACAGAAAAUAUUUACCUUUUCCAUUAUGACAACAAUUCUGAUAUCACAUAUUUAGCAUGCCAUGAUAAUGAAUUCUGGGAACUGUGCAACUUUAUUGACUGCAUUCUAAAGACAAACAUUUUCAUGACUGAUAAUGGUCAUUUUGUCAAAAG